Molecule: transfer RNA, 88 nt
Filed under: Omnitrophica bacterium GWA2_52_8
Lineage: Bacteria; Pseudomonadati; Candidatus Omnitrophota
Description: tRNA-Ser
Rfam family: tRNA
About the family: Transfer RNA (tRNA) molecules are approximately 80 nucleotides in length. Their secondary structure includes four short double-helical elements and three loops (D, anti-codon, and T loops). Further hydrogen bonds mediate the characteristic L-shaped molecular structure. tRNAs have two regions of fundamental functional importance: the anti-codon, which is responsible for specific mRNA codon recognition, and the 3' end, to which the tRNAs corresponding amino acid is attached (by aminoacyl-tRNA synthetases). tRNAs cope with the degeneracy of the genetic code in two manners: having more than one tRNA (with a specific anti-codon) for a particular amino acid; and 'wobble' base-pairing, i.e. permitting non-standard base-pairing at the 3rd anti-codon position.
Source: RNAcentral
GGAGAGGUGGCAGAGUGGUCGAAUGCGACGGUCUCGAAAACCGUUAUCCGCCUUAGGCGGAUCGAGAGUUCGAAUCUCUCCCUCUCCG